CUCUACUCCCUGCCCCAGCCA
RNAcentral lists this microRNA (21 nucleotides) under Mus musculus (house mouse). RNAcentral describes it as "mmu-miR-3102-3p.2-3p". The record is from miRBase by way of RNAcentral. RNAcentral also lists the same sequence under 1 other name. Lineage: Eukaryota; Metazoa; Chordata; Mammalia; Rodentia; Muridae.